GCAGCACGCCGCGUGAGUGAUGAAGGCCUUCGGGUCGUAAAGCUCUGUCGGGAGGGAAGAAAUGAUCGAGGGCUAAUACCUCUUGGUCUUGACGGUACCUCCGAAGGAAGCACCGGCUAACUCCGUGCCAGCAGCCGCGGUAAUACGGAGGGUGCAAGCGUUGUUCGGAAUUAUUGGGCGUAAAGCGCGUGUAGGCGGUCUUUUAAGUCUGAUGUGAAAGCCCCGGGCUCAACCUGGGAAGUGCAUUGGAAACUGGGAGACUUGAGUACGGGAGAGGGUAGUGGAAUUCCUAGUGUAGGAGUGAAAUCCGUAGAUAUUAGGAGGAACACCGGUGGCGAAGG
Molecule: ribosomal RNA, 341 nt
Filed under: uncultured bacterium
Lineage: Bacteria
Description: bacterial SSU rRNA
Rfam family: Bacterial small subunit ribosomal RNA
Source: RNAcentral